AUCCAGGAGUGGGGGUGGAGAGGGCAGGGGGGAUGGAUGGUGCUGGGGACCAACUGAGCAAUGGAGUCUGAGUAUGGCAACUUCAAGGCCACCAGGUCACAGCCCACAGCAGAGCUUCACGAGAAGGGGACAUUGGCACCUUGCUAUUUCUAAUCACAAGUCACAAACUUGCUGUCUUUCCUCCCAGGCCAGUGCUAAUCCUGCUAUGGGAGUUGUCUCCCUUCAUGUCUCCUCUGAGUGACCUUGUGUGGCCCCCAGGAAAUUUGAUCUCCUUAGAGUGGCUAUGUAAGCCUGGGAGCUAGUGAAGACAGGCCUUAGGGUCUCAGGCUGCUAAGCUACACAGACAGGACAGCAGGGUGUCCAGCAUGGCUGAGUCCCUAGAGUGAGAAGGCCAGGGACAGAGAAGAAGGUCACCUUCUCGCCCAAGGAGCUCUUAAGCUCCUGCCUUUCUCACCUUGUUCUCUGCAGAGAACCUCAGCUUGCUGCGGGGCAGCACUCAAGUCCAAAGUCCCACCCAGCAGCAAAAUCACAUGACCUCAGUUUAUAUAAUCGCCCUGUUACUGAACAGCUGGAACCCAGGGCUUCAAAAGAUGAGUCAGCAGCCCCAGUGGCAAAUAGGACUCAGGUACUCAGGUUCCACUGCUCCUUAGAAGCAGGUUCUGAAGCAGAAGGCAAGGUGUGGAAGAGACUGGGGACCAGUGAACAGACUGGCUCAGAGCCUCAGGCCCUGAUGCUGUGUCCAGGAGCAGGUUCCUGGCCUGCUGACUGCUGGGGAGGGCGCUGGGCUAACCCCUGGCUCUUAUUGGGGAGGGGAGGCCUGGGCGGGACCAGUGCAGGGCUUCAUCCAGCAGGCAGAGCGCCAGGGCUGGCAGGGAGCAGCUGGAGGGGUGGAGCCGAGGAGGAUUAGGAAGGAUUGUAGGGGUUAAAGCGCAGUCCUGGCAGGGUUCAGUGGGAACAGCUUGUCCUACCAUAGGCCUGGGAACAGAGAGGUAGGGCAGAGGGGGUGGGGAGGUGGUUGGGACUCGGGAUCCUAGUUCUCUCCACCGGGCUGAGCCACCUGGGCUGACCCGGGAGUCCCCAGUGGCUCUCCCUUCCCCAUCCUUGUUCCUUUUGACUCAUCCGUCUGGGUUUGAGGCAGAUAGUAGAACCUCAGGACAGCCCUUCAUUUUCCCAGGGCUGAGCUGUACCCCACAGUCCGGCAUUCUGUGGGUGCCUACACACGGGGACAGAGUUACUCAGAAUUUACAUUCCUCUGUCAAUUCUUUAUUCAUGCUCAGUGGAGUCUGUCCAAGUUCACGUUGGCUGUCACUGGUAGUGAGGGAAGGAGUCUGAUUGGAACUGUUCUAGUCCUGCUGGAGGGCCUGCAGGUGACCUUCCUUUCUGAAACCCAGCUGUAGUUCGGGUCAGCCAUCCUGAGACACCCUGCUGGUGGUAGUGGGGUGCAUAACUACAAUCUCAGCAUUCUGGGAGCCUGAGGCAGGAGGAUCACAAAUUUGAGUUCUGCCUGGGAAAUUUAUCAAGAUGCUGUAAAAAAGCCGGGUGUGGUGGCUCACACCUGUAAUCCCAGCACUCGGAGGCUGAGGUAGGAGGAUCGUUUCGAGUUCGAGACCAGCCUGGGCUACAAAGUGAGUUCAAGGCCAGCCUGAACUGCAUAGUGAGACCCCAUCUCAAAAAAAGAAAAAAAAAAAAAAAGAUGCUAUAAAAAAAAUGUAGGACAUAGUUCUGUGCAAAAGGCUUUGGGUUCAGCCCCUAUUACUUAUUAAUAAUACUUAUUAAUGCGUGUGUGUGUGUGAGAGAGAGAGAGAGAGAGAGAGAGAGAGGUGGAGAGAGACUUUGACAGAUCUUACUCGAUCAAUUUUGUUCCUCUUACAUGGGGAUUCCUACCCUGUGACCCCACCUCCACCCUAGUCAGUGCCCUUUUUUUAAAAUCACCUUCCCAUCCCCGGGUUUAUCUAUCUUUUCUUUUUUUAGCCCUGGGCAUUGAACUCAGGGCCUCACACAGGCUGGACAAGUGCUACACUACUGGUCUGUGUCCGCAGCCCUCCUUUUUGAGUUUAAACAAACUCUUCUGCCUGUUUUACUGCCUUUGGAUUCCUUCACAGUCAUUAUUUGCUUUGUGCCUCUUGGCAUGCCUGUGGGGUAGGCAGGGCAGGUGUGAUCACUCCCUUUUAUGGAUGAGGAAAUGCAGCUCAGCUGAUUGGUGUCCAAGGUUAAGAAAGCACUGUACCUGCCAGAGGUCAUGGGCUACCUGCUCCAGCCUCAGAUGACCUGUCCCUUUUCUGCCACUGCUAACACUUCAACCUGGGCAAUCUCCUGCUGUGCGGGUUGAAGAAUGUAUUUCCCCAAGGAAUUGUGAAUGCCCAAGUCAUGAUCAAUGGCUCAGGCACAUCAGGGCUGACGUGUACCGAGCAUUUACGCAUCCAGUACCUUCUCAUUCCUCACAAGAAUCUGUCAAGUGGGAAUUGUGGACAUUCUUGUUUUACAGCUUCUUCAGAGACUCCUGAGCUGGGCUGAGAACGUGGGACAUUUCAAGAGUUACGCCAGCUUCCAGCCCUCUGGCUGAGGUGACCAUCAGGAGACCUGCUGGCAUCACAGGCUGUCUGCUGGAAUGACCUAAAAAUUGUGGGGUCAGCUCCCUGGCCAGACAAAAGAGGCGCAGGAGAGGAAGCGCUGGGGAAGUGGGUGGAGACUCCAUUCCAGAGCUCUUCCCUGGAAACAAGAACCGCCGCUUGGUCCCCCAGUGGAGGAUACUCCUAUGGCAGAACCCAGUUUCUCACUGAUCUUAAUCUUCAGUUCUAAGCAGAGUCAGUGCCCUGUGGCCUCUCAGGGUUCUUCCAACAGGGCUAUCAACUUGCUCCUGGCAGUAGUUGACUUGUGCAAAGGGGCCCCCUAGAGCCUAACGUCAUGCACUGCAGACGCACUCCCAGGUGUUGGAACCUGUCCUGUUCCCGAAACCCCUUUUCUUGCAGCUGAUGGGAGUCUGGUGAAGGAACACAGAAAUCACUGAAUGGAGAGCUAGGAGGGUCCUAAAGGACCAUGCACUUUAACCUCUCGAUUGUACUAGUGGGAAAAAUGGUACUAGUUAGUCCAGGUCACGCCCUAGCAGUCAGAUCUUUCAGGAUGCACCCAGCCCUCUUUCCACAUAGUUUUGAGUUGCCACCCCUAUUGUAGGUGGGGGUCCCCCAGAGUCUUUCCAACAUCUCCGUAUGCAAACUUUAUCUCCAGAGGAGCUGGAGUGGCAGAGGUGCUAUGGGGGAGAGGAGCAAUUAGAGGGACGCCCCUUUUUUGAGGGCCUGAGGAGCUUGUGGUUGGGGGCACUCCAGAAGUCUGAGCAGUGUGUGAGCGGCUGGUUUGGAUUCCCUGUGACAGACUAGCUGGCCAGUUUUGCACUCCUCAUUUAAUCGUUUUGAGCUUUAAUUUCCUCACCUGUGAAUGAGUAUAAUAAUUACCAUCAUGAUUCUUGUCUCACAGGCUUGUUGUGGAGAAUAAAUGAGAUAAUAACACAUGAAAGCA
Molecule: long non-coding RNA, 3513 nt
Organism: Cavia porcellus (domestic guinea pig)
Lineage: Eukaryota; Metazoa; Chordata; Mammalia; Rodentia; Caviidae
Exons: 2
Source: RefSeq, a predicted model, not a curated record